CCUACGGGUGGCAGCAGUGGGGAAUAUUGCACAAUGGGCGCAAGCCUGAUGCAGCCAUGCCGCGUGUGUGAAGAAGGCCUUCGGGUUGUAAAGCACUUUCAGCGGGGAGGAAGGCGGUGAGGUUAAUAACCUCAUCGAUUGACGUUACCCGCAGAAGAAGCACCGGCUAACUCCGUGCCAGCAGCCGCGGUAAUACGGAGGGUGCAAGCGUUAAUCGGAAUUACUGGGCGUAAAGCGCACGCAGGCGGUCUGUCAAGUCGGAUGUGAAAUCCCCGGGCUCAACCUGGGAACUGCAUUCGAAACUGGCAGGCUAGAGUCUUGUAGAGGGGGGUAGAAUUCCAGGUGUAGCGGUGAAAUGCGUAGAGAUCUGGAGGAAUACCGGUGGCGAAGGCGGCCCCCUGGACAAAGACUGACGCUCAGGUGCGAAAGUGUGGGGAGCAAACAGGAUUAGAUACCCUAGUAGUC
This 465-nucleotide ribosomal RNA is filed under the name uncultured Klebsiella sp. RNAcentral's name for it is "bacterial SSU rRNA". It matches the Rfam family "Bacterial small subunit ribosomal RNA", at positions 338 to 795 of the family's 1533-position model. Lineage: Bacteria; Pseudomonadati; Pseudomonadota; Gammaproteobacteria; Enterobacterales; Enterobacteriaceae. The record is from RNAcentral.